CAAUAAAGUGCCAAGUGGCCUUCCCUUGGGAAAAACAUCCCCUUCUCCUAGCCGUUGGUUCGACGACUGGAAGACCUAGCCCCAGCACGGCAUGCCGCACGGCGAUGGCCACACGACCUGACGACCCUCUCCUCUUCCCCGACCUGUCCACGCCAGACAUGAGAAGGCUUCGCGCCGCGCUGAUCUGUUUCCGCCCCAGAUUCGUUCUGGUUCGCGAGCUACGGUAGCCUUGCAACUGGAGGUCAUCGGAGAGGGCCCAGAUCUGAAAGUCAUUGUAAUAGAUUGGAGAAAAACAUAUCAUUGAAUGUAAUUGUAUACACAUCCUUCCAAUCAGCGCCUGUAGAAAAUACGGAAAUGUGAUGCUGCAAAGGUCAUGUUGUCUUGCCAGUUCCAUGAAUGAAAUACCAAGACUGACUUCCAGGAAGUACAAGCUGCCAAUUGAAGUUUUAUCGCACGUCAAGAGACAUUUCCAAACAUAUGUGCAUUGAUGUGAAGGAAAAUGCAGCUGAUAUAAAUGUUGUUUCUCUUGGGGGUGUAAAUAUAUGUAAUGAGUCAUGAACAAAAGGUGGGCUGCAUUCUGGCUCAGGGAAAAUAUCGGCUAUUGCUGAAAAUAGAAGUGCUCCAGCAAAAAACUGCAAAGCAAGGAUGAAAAAGGAUAUAUAUGAAUGCCCCAUGGACCUUGUACAAUUUCGUGCUUAAGAUGUACUGUGAGAAAAGAAUCUUGAUUGGAGCAAGUAAAUGGAAAACCCACACUACCAGUUACAGCUUUUGAAGGGAAACAAUAGCAAAGGCAAUGCAUGCAUCAAAUGAAACACUUGAUGCCAAUGAUGAAUACAUGAUAAUAGUAUGAACAGACAGCAGGAGUGAAGGGCUGAAGGAAGAUGCGUGUAUGCGUACCGAGGGAGGUGCUUAAGCCGCCUACGAGAGACAGAGUGAGAGCAACAGCGACCUUGGGAUCCAUAUGAACAGACUGGCUUUCUGAUGGAGAUGUAUGUGACCUUUAUAUACAGGCCAGGAUGGUGACUAUGACGUUAGGCAGUCAAGGAGCCCCUGUGUGCGCGGCAACCGAUGAUGUGAUUGAAUGGAAAGAAGAGGGAGGGGUGAUCAAGUGGAGCUGCUGGCGCCUGGUUAUAUAUUAGCUUGAACAUCUACCCAGAGAAGUUGAGGGGGGCAAGUUUGGAAUGACUUGGCACAUGCUUGCUUGGCAGCUGCCCUUAAUUCUUGGACUUCCUGGUGGUUGGGGUAUGCCUGCGGGCAAGGUCAUGCUGUGAGGUAACUCUAUGCUAGAUCUCUUGUGUGUAGAUGGGAAGAAAGCUAUUUGGGACUAGGAAUCUUACAAGCUGACUGGCAGAGCCUUGCUAAAACCCGAGGGAUGCAUCUUAUUUUGUUUUUGUAUGGAAUUACAUCAUGUAAGCACUAAAUUUUGAUUUUUCAUCGUAUAAAUUGCGGCACCGUAUUAA
Aegilops tauschii subsp. strangulata is the source of this 1460-nucleotide long non-coding RNA. RefSeq lists it as uncharacterized. The record is from RefSeq and is a predicted model, not a curated record. NCBI's taxonomy places the organism in Eukaryota, Viridiplantae, Streptophyta, Magnoliopsida, Poales, Poaceae.